This 528-nucleotide ribosomal RNA is filed under the name Smeringopina moudouma. Its description in RNAcentral is "partial 28S ribosomal RNA". Lineage: Eukaryota; Metazoa; Arthropoda; Arachnida; Araneae; Pholcidae. The record is from RNAcentral.
CCGGUUGGAAGAACGUCSGCUUGGAGGUCGUUCGAAGGUAGGUGGCGGGGGGUUCCGCGUUUUUGCGGCUUCUCCCCCGUUUUGGCCAGUUCGACCGGGCACGACGACCGACCGAGGGUUUACUUUCGUCCUCUAGCUAGCUGGUCGCUCUGCAGGUGACGAUCUGCGGACGUUCUCCGAUUCGCUGGUAUCGGUGAACGGUACUUCGGGGGCACCGUUUGGUGGAGCGACCGAAGCGGAGGGUUUCGGAAGGUUGGAGGCGAGACGAAUCGGUAACCCACCCGACCCGUCUUGAAACACGGACCAAGGAGUCUAACAUGUACGCGAGUCGGCGGGAUUUGCUCAGACUCGCAGGCGCAACGAAAGUAGAGAGUGUCGAGAUCCCUCCGUUUCUUUCGUUCGGAGGGCGCACCGACCACCUGUUCUAUCCGAAAUCUCGGACGAGCGGAGUGAGAGCGUACACGUUGGGACCCGAAAGAUGGUGAACUAUGCCCGGGCAGGACGAAGCCAGGGGAAACCCUGGUGGAG